GAUGAAGAACGUAGCGAAAUGCGAUAAGUAAUGUGAAUUGCAGAAUUCAGUGAAUCAUCGAAUCUUUGAACGCACAUUGCGCCCGCCAGCAUUCUGGCGGGCAUGCCUGUUCGAGCGUCAUUUCAACCCUCGAGCCCCCCCGGGGGCCUCGGUGUUGGGGGACGGCACACCAGCCGCCCCCGAAAUGCAGUGGCGACCCCGCCGCAGCCUCCCCUGCGUAGUAGCACACACCUCGCACCGGAGCGCGGAGGCGGUCACGCCGUAAAACGCCCAACGUUCUUAGAGUUGACCUCGGAUCAGGUAGGAAUACCCGCUGAACUUAAGCAUAUCAAUAAGCGGAGGA
RNAcentral lists this unclassified non-coding RNA (343 nucleotides) under soil metagenome. RNAcentral describes it as "partial contains 5.8S ribosomal RNA, internal transcribed spacer 2, and large subunit ribosomal RNA". The stretch from base 1 to 120 matches the Rfam family "5.8S ribosomal RNA", at positions 35 to 154 of the family's 154-position model. The record is from RNAcentral.